UACGAAGGGGGCUAGCGUUGCUCGGAAUCACUGGCGUAAAGCGCACGUAGGCGGUUCGUUAUGUCGGAUGUGAAAGCCCUUGGCUUAACCGAGGAAGUGCAUCCGAAACUGGCGAGCUAGAGUACGAAAGAGGAUCGCGGAAUUCCCGGUGUAGAGGUGAAAUUCGUAGAUAUCGGGAGGAACACCGGUGGCGAAGGCGGCUCACUGGGGUCUUCUGACGCUGAGGAACGAAAGCCAGGGGAGCGAACGGG
RNAcentral lists this ribosomal RNA (251 nucleotides) under uncultured bacterium. RNAcentral describes it as "partial 16S ribosomal RNA". It matches the Rfam family "Bacterial small subunit ribosomal RNA", at positions 524 to 776 of the family's 1533-position model. The record is from RNAcentral.